Molecule: unclassified non-coding RNA, 391 nt
Filed under: soil metagenome
Description: partial contains 5.8S ribosomal RNA, internal transcribed spacer 2, and large subunit ribosomal RNA
Rfam family: 5.8S ribosomal RNA (bases 1-122)
Source: RNAcentral
GAUGAAGAACGUAGCGAAAUGCGAUACUUGGUGUGAAUUGCAGAAUCCCGUGAACCAUCGAGUCUUUGAACGCAAGUUGCGCCCGAAGCCAUUAGGCCGAGGGCACGCCUGCCUGGGCGUCACACGUCGUUGCCCCCCCAUCUACUCCUUCGGGAUUGCGGGGGGCGGAUGCUGGCCUCCCGUGCGCCUCGUCGCGCGGUUGGCCUAAAUGCCAAGUCCUCGGCGACGCACGCCACGACAAUCGGUGGUUGCGAAACCUCGGUUGCCCGUCGUGUGCGGUCGUCGCGCAUCGAGGGCUCGAAAAAAUUGCCGGGCUUCGGCUCGACUUUCAACGCGACCCCAGGUCAGGCGGGGUUACCCGCUGAAUUUAAGCAUAUCAAUAAGCGGAGGA